GGUUUGAUUAUGGCUCAGAUUGAACGCUGGCGGGAUGCUUUACACAUACGGCAGUCGAACGGCAGCACGGACUUCGGUCUGGUGGCGAGUGGCGAACAGGUAGAUAAUGUAUCGGAACGUGCCUGGUAGCGGGGAUAGCUUUGCGGCGGCAGCUAAUACCGCACUCUACCACGCCCUUCGGGGGAAAGCGGGGGACAGCGGGCCUCGCACUAUUGAAACGAAGAAGCCGAUAUCGAGUUAGCUAGUUGGUGGGGUAACGGCUCGCCAAAGCGACGAUCCGUGUAGCUAGUUUGAGAGGACGACCAGCCACACUGGGACUGAGACACGGCCCAGACUCCUACGGGAGGCAGCAGUGAGGUACGGACAAUGCAGAAACCCUGAUCCAGCCAUCCGCGUGUGCGAUGAAGGCCUUCGGGUUGUCAACACUUUUGGCAGGAAAGAAACGGCACGGGAUAAUACCCAUUACCUUUGGCGGUACCUGCAGAAUAAGCGCAAACAACUACGUGCCAGCGACCGCGGUAAUACGUAAGGGUGCAAGCGUUAAUCGGAAUUACUGGGUAACGUGCGCAGAGCGGUUCGGAAAGAAAGAUGUGAAAUCAGAGCUUAACUUUGGAACUGCAUUUUUAACUACCGAGCUAGAGUGUGUCAGAAGGUGGAAUUCCGCGUGCUGCUUGGUGAAAUACGUGAAUGUGCGGAGGAACACCGAUGGCGAAGGCAGCCUCCUGGGAUCUGCAGGUAUCAUGCACCGAAAGCGUGAACCGUGGGAUUAGAUACCCUGAAAGUCCACGCCCUAAACGAUGUCAACUAGCUGUUGGGGCCUUCGGGCCUUGGUAGCGCAACUAACGCGUAGGGGACGAACCCGCCUGGGAAGUACGGUCGCAGAUUAAAACUCAAAUUGACGGGGACCACAAGCGGUGGAUGAUGUGGAUUAAUUCGAUGCAACGCGAAAAAUGCCCUACCCUUGACAUGUCUGGAUCCGAAAGAUUUGAGUGCUCUAUACAAGAGAACCAGGAACACUAGGUGCUGCAUGGCUGUCGUCAAUGUGUCGUGAGAUGUUGGGUUAAGUCCCACCAACGAGCGCAACCCUUGUCAUUAACUGGUGCUACGAAGGGCACUCAGGACUGCCGGUGACAAACCGGAGGAAGGUGAGGAUGACGUCGGUCCUCAUGGCCCUUAUGGGUAGGGCUUCACACGUCAUAAUGGGUGGGACGGUCGCCAGCUGAAGGCAAUCCCGACCAGAUCGUAGUCCGGAUCGCAGUCUGCAACUCGACUGCGUGAAGUCGGAAUCGCUAUUAAUCGCGGAUCAGCAUGUCGCGGUGAAUACGUUCCAGGUCUUCCCUGCGCCUAAUCACACCAUAGAAUUAGGUUUUACCGUGGAUGACCUAACCGUAAGGAGGGCGAUUACCACGAUAGGAUUCAUGACUGAGAUUGAGAAUCGUAACAAGGUAACUCUGUUACUGCCUGAUGUCCCAAGGGCAAUGGCGUACGUAACGGUAUACUUCGUUUCAGUUGCAGCGUACUCUUACUACGUUGAUGAACCUCCUCCAGAUUUUACUGUGGUACGACAAAGAUCUGAGCCAUGAUCAAUAGUGGUUACCUUGUUACGGCUGCAAAAGACCGCUGAUCAAACUAGGUUACCUUGUUCCUGACUUGGUUACCUUGUUACGACUUGGUUACCCUGUUACGACUUACUGAGCCAUGAUCAAACUGGGUUGCCUUGUUACGACUUGGUUUACCUUGUUACGACUUGGUUACCUUGUUACGACUUGGUUACCUUGUUGCGACUUACUGAGCCAGAAUCCGACC
This 1806-nucleotide ribosomal RNA is filed under the name uncultured Bordetella sp. RNAcentral's name for it is "partial 16S-23S ribosomal RNA intergenic spacer". The stretch from base 1 to 1465 matches the Rfam family "Bacterial small subunit ribosomal RNA". Lineage: Bacteria; Pseudomonadati; Pseudomonadota; Betaproteobacteria; Burkholderiales; Alcaligenaceae. The record is from RNAcentral.